UUGGAAAUCCCGGAUUGUAAAAACGCAAAAAUCACUGACGGUCACAGCAGGACUACACCUUUAAGACGUCGAAACUGCGCGCAUUGGGAGUGGGCAUAUGUUCAACUGUAGAAUCACAACAACACUUCGCUAUGGGAAAACUGUGAAGAGGACCGCCUGCGCUGAACAAUAUUUAAAGAAAGCCAGCAGCAACGAUAUUUCUCAUCAACACAAACAUUGCUGCCGGUAUCCUGCAUGCUGUACUGUUGUGGAAGCAAGGAAAAGGAGAAGCAGCGCCCAGACGCUGCAGAGGUGUCGAGAAUUCGAGACACAGAGCCUGUGAAAACACGAAAGCCCCAAGAAAGCGCUCCUCAACCACUGGACAUGUACGGAAUAGCGGGAAUGCCCGAGUUUCUACCUCCCUCCGGCGUACUCCAGCCCAGCUCAGUAAUCCCACGCGAGUCGGGUGAGGUGCCUGGUUUGGGGAGGGGAUUCAGCAGGGGUGUUCUGAGCUUUGACUCCCCCCAGCGGAGACGAGGCCAACGGCCCCCCAAGCUAGGACAAAUAGGACGUUCGAAGAGAGUGGUGAUAGAAGAUGAGGAUUUGGAUGAUGUCAUGAACAACAAUGGCCUCCCUAUAUCGAUCAAUGUCUCUCCUGUUGCCUGAACACUGAGGCUGUCCAGACCUCAAGAGGCUAUGGUGCUCAUUUGUGGAAUUCUGAGGGGAGUACCACUUGUUCUGAAAAAUACCCAGUUCACGUGCUCAUUGCAAAGUUUACAAUAGCGGCAUGCGCAUCGGCUGUAGUUUAGCUCUUCUUGGGCACGGGAAGGUGGGUGUCUCAAGGAAAUAGAGGAAAAACGGUGCAUCUCUGCUGCAGCUGCUCUUCUGGUGUUGAAGGGGGGGAACAUUGUGUCCUGAUGGGGGAGGGGGAGGGUAGGUGUGGGGCCAGAGACCAGACAAGCUGCUUACUGUAUAAGCUACAAGAGAAGGGCCUAGGCUACCUAUCAACACCUGCCCUUUCAAAAUGAGUUUACCUGUUCCUCUGUUUGGUUUUAGUUUCAAUGUUUUUAAAACACUUCAUCCAACAUGUUUUAUUUUAAUUUUGAUGGUUAACUAAACCCAUAUCUAAACAAGAAAGCUGUGGCUGAUGGUUCUGGGAAGUAUUUUCAGGCUGAGUUCUGAUACUGUACAUUUGUAGUGUUUGAAAUGAUUACAUGGAAAAUUCCCUUUUAUAGCCUCUGACUGUCAGCAUCACUGUCUUGUUCUCUUGCAAAUUCAUUGUCUGUAAAAUCUGUUGAAUACAUGUUAGAUACACUGGCUCAUUGAUGCAUGUCAUAUUCAGCAGUGUAGAGGCCUAAGCCAUGCUUAUGUUGGAAUGUAUGUUACUUUUACCCUUGACUUACUAGACAAAAGGAAUCCUCACUGUGCAUGAUUCAUUGACCCUCCAUUCAUCCCUGUACAGGGGUGUGAAUACACCUUUUUUAUAUUACUAUCAACUUAUUGUUCAGUAUCUCACCGGAAUGCCCCCACAACUGGCUAAGAAUGUCAGAAGAUGAAGUACAGUAUAACUCAUUUCAGUGGUUUAUGUUAAACCCAGCUACAAAGCAGAAUCACAAAUUAAAUCGCUACAUGAAGAAAUUUAGGUAUUUGGUGUAUGACUGAGCCAUAAGAGGCACGUUGUCUUCUCUUUUUCCUUAAUUUCAAUUAUGUUUUAUUAGAAGCAACUUAAUAAAAAAUUACAAAUGUA
Esox lucius (northern pike) is the source of this 1726-nucleotide long non-coding RNA. RefSeq lists it as uncharacterized. NCBI's taxonomy places the organism in Eukaryota, Metazoa, Chordata, Actinopteri, Esociformes, Esocidae. The record is from RefSeq and is a predicted model, not a curated record. The transcript is spliced from 3 exons.